CUUUGACCUGAAUGAAAAAUUUGAAAGUUUUAUGAGGGACUUCAAACUGAUAAAACCCUGCACAUUUUUACUUCUGUUUUUAAGGAUUACUCAAGAAUUUGAUACAAGUAUUUUCCAGCACCUGGAUUUUUUCACUUCAUUAUGUUUACUAUUUUCUUGAAAAAAAUAAAUACUUGACAAGUCUAGUCUUGACACUUCCCUUUACACAGGUCCUUGAAUUUUCACACAACAUGCAGCUAGCUGCUGGCAGCUUUAAGUCCCGAUUUUAAAUACAGGGAAAGAACACUAUUAGAUGGCUUCUGGGAAAAUUGUAUUGUAUUACAUUAAAGCUUCCCAUGUAGCCAACAAAAUAGGAAGCUUUAGUUCAAAGGGUUAAAAGUCAAGAACUAUUAUUUCAAGUUCAUUAAACAGUACAUGUCCAACUACAAAAUUAACCUUGAUCCUCAGCAUUAAUUAAUCACACAAGAGCCAUUUUCUACUUCUCAGCCUUCACUCCUUAAAUUUUAGUCCUUUGAAUUAGUAAUAUUCUAGCUUCUCAGAUGCUGAAUGAAGGACAUCUGAAGUGUUCCUCUAAGGUAAUUAACUCAUAAGUCCAAGUGUCUUGCUGAAGAAGAAUAUGAAGAACAAAGUAUGCUGAAGGAGCUUUAAAGCAUCCCAAAAGAAAAAAAAAAAAAAAAAAAAAAAAAAAAAAAAAAAAAAAA
Parus major (Great Tit) is the source of this 701-nucleotide long non-coding RNA. RefSeq lists it as uncharacterized. The transcript has 2 exons. The record is from RefSeq and is a predicted model, not a curated record. NCBI's taxonomy places the organism in Eukaryota, Metazoa, Chordata, Aves, Passeriformes, Paridae.